GCUGGAGUGAUGCAGAGGUGGAUAGAAUUCCUGGUGUAGCGGUGAAAUGCGUUGAUAUCAGGAGGAAUACCCGUGGCGAAGGCGGUCCACUGGGCAUCAACUGACGCUGAGGCGCGAAAGCGUGGGUAGCAAACAGGAUUAGAUACCCUGGUAGUCCACGCCCUAAACGAUGGAUGCUAGGCGUAGGAGGUAUCGACCCCUCCUGUGCCGCAGCUAACGCACUAAGCAUCCCGCCUGGGGACUACGGCCGCAAGGUUGAAACUCAAAUGAAUUGACGGGGACCCGCACAAGCGGUGGAGCAUGUGGAUUAAUUCGAUACUAACCGAAGAACCUUACCCAGGUUUGACAUCGAGGGAAAGCCUAUGAAAGUAGGCCCUCGCCCACAAGGCGACCCGAAGACAGAUGUUGCAUGGCUGUCGUCAGCUCGUGCCGUGAGGUGUACGGUUAAGUCCGCCAACGAGCGCAACCCUCGUCGUGUGUUACCAGCGAGUAAUGUCGGGAACUCACACGAGACCGCCGGUGUAAGCCGGAGGAAGGUGAGGAUGACGUCAAGUCAGCAUGGCUCUUACGCCUGGGGCUUCACACAUGCUACAAUGGGCGCAACAGAGGGCAGCAAUACCGCGAGGUGGAGCUAAUCCCAAAAAUACGCCCCCAGUUCAGAUUGCAGUCUGCAACUCGACUGCAUGAAGGCGGAAUCGCUAGUAAACGCAGGUCAGCUAUACUGCGUUGAAUACGUUCCCGGGUCUUGUACACACCGCCCGUCAAGUCACC
RNAcentral lists this ribosomal RNA (771 nucleotides) under uncultured Armatimonadota bacterium. Its description in RNAcentral is "bacterial SSU rRNA". It matches the Rfam family "Bacterial small subunit ribosomal RNA", at positions 640 to 1406 of the family's 1533-position model. The record is from RNAcentral. Lineage: Bacteria; Bacillati; Armatimonadota.